GUUUGUAAUUGAAGUCACAUCCUUGUGGACAUGUCCUUGUGAGGAUUGAGGUUUCUUGCAGAGCCUGGAUAGCUCAGUCGCUAGAGCGUCAGACUUUUAAUCUGAGGUCCAGUGUUCAAGUCCCUGUUCGGGAGAGUUGUUUCUUACUGCAUUAGGGCAUUCUGAUGGAAACCUGUUUACCCGCCGAGGUUAAGGAUUGAAGUCGAGACUGCCGGGACAACGAUGCUGCUCCUGUCAGAUGUGACUGGUCUGGAGUAAUUGCAACGACAAGAAAUCACUACAGACUUUAUUGAAGACUAGAGUGGAUAACAACUCUAUUAUUAUUUAAUUGUUUAUUUAUCUAUUUAUUACCAGUUAUGACUUUUAGAUCAUUUAAUUCUGUGUUUGUAUGAUUUGUGUAAAUCGUGUAUUUAUUUAAAGUAUCCUCCAGGCCACCCAUGAAGGAUGGGCCCUGCUGAGUCUGGUUCCUCUCAAGGUUUCUUCCUGUAAUUUUCAGGGAGUUUUUCCUUGCCACAGUCGCCCUCGGCUUGCUCAACAGGGGUUUUUGUAUCUGUUGGUCCUGGAUUUUGUAAAGUUGCUUUGAGACAAUGUCUAUUGUAAAAAGCGCUAUAUAAAUAAAGUUGACUUGACUUGA
This is a long non-coding RNA of Trichomycterus rosablanca, 634 nucleotides long. RefSeq lists it as uncharacterized. The transcript is spliced from 2 exons. Lineage: Eukaryota; Metazoa; Chordata; Actinopteri; Siluriformes; Trichomycteridae. The record is from RefSeq and is a predicted model, not a curated record.